CCUCUAGAGCCAGGGGGCUGGGAUCUGCCCUGGAGCUCCCUCUGCAGUCAGGGGGCUGGAACCUGCCUCUAGAGCCAGGGGCUGGAGCACCCUCUGCAGCCAGGGGUGUGAAGCCACCCCUAGAGCCUGGGCCUGGAGCUCCCUUUGCAGCCAGGGGUCUGGAACCUGCCUCUAGAGCCAGGGCCUGGAGCACCCUCUUCAGCCAGGGGGAUGGAACCAGCCCCUGGAGCCGGGGCCUGGAGCUCCCUCUGCAGCCAGGGGCCUGGAACCCUCCACCCAGCUGGGGCAUGUUGGAUCCCUCUCCAUCAGGGUAGCGAUGGACACUUCUCUUCCUAGCUGACUCCAAAAUGCAUAUUGAUUACAGUGCUGUAGGGGGUAGACUUUGAUUAAAGCAUCACUUCGGGGUUACCAAAGCCUAUAACUUUUCUAUUCCUGUUAGCGGCGACAAGGACAACUUAAAUCCAGAGGAAACCAGUGCCAUCUCCCAGAGCAGAUCUGCAGCAACCUGAGGGACCUCAGUGCCAUUGUAUGACUCAAAGAUCUUUAAAGUUGUAUGUGGUAUUAUUUUCCAUAGAGGACUUUCUAUAGAUCAGUCUUAACUAGACCAAGGGAAGUUUUAAAUAGUUAAAGAAAACUAUGUUUAGAAAGAGAGAGAAAUAGUCACACAUUCAGGUGUCUGAACAUCAGUGUUCUGUGAUAAAUAACUUAUACUGUGAAAUAUUUGUGAGGUAUGUAAUGUGGUUGGGCAUGGUCAUGCAGAAAUUACUAAUAGAAAAGUAAGUAUUGCUAUGGAAUCCUGAAAGAUUGGGUUAUAAGCAACUUUCGAGAUAAUGUUGAUUUGUGCAUUUUAUUGUGAUUUUUAGAACUAAACAUUCCAUAAGAGGAUAAAAGAGAUGGGACAAAGAAAGCCCCAACUCCUCACACUGUGUGCCAUAAGCUAGAUUGUUGCAUUGUUUUGCAGUGGUGUUACAUAGGAAAAUUCACAGUAAAAUAAAGUAAGUUAGUAAUAGGAUCAAAAUUAGGCAUAUUAAUUAGUGCUGAUUUAAAGCAUUCAGGGAUAUAACCCUGUUCUUCAGCACAUAUAUCGUUAGGUACCAUCUUUUUUGUGAAGUUGUUUUCCUUCAUUUUAUUUGCAGACCAGUUGUUAAAAUACAAGAUUUUUGUUUUAAUACCAAAUUUGCCAAGUGUAUCAUGUAAAGGUUUGGAAUUUUGUUUUCUAUUUUUUGUAAAAUAAAUAAAUAAAAAGCAGCUAUUCUGCCUGAGCCAUACCCAGUUUUCAAACAUAAAAUAUCUCAGUGAGUUAAAAAUAAAAAUCAGGAAUCUGCUUGAAGUGCCAGCAAAACUGCAGUUUUGAAAAGUGAACUAACUUAUUUUUAAGUGCUUUUUUUAUUUGAGGCCUCUAAACAUGUUUAACUUUAAGCAUAUGCAUAAAUCCCAUUGAUUUAGAUGUGCUUAAUUGCUUUCCUGAAUUGGAAUGCUAUCCUGAAACCUGGCCAAAGAGAGUAGAUCCAUAAAGCUUAAGAAACACUGGCGCUGAUGCAAAGUCCACUGAGCUGAGUGGAAAAACUCCCAUUGACAGCAGUGGGUUUUGGAUCAAGCCCUAUUCUAAAUAGCUCAGCAACUCAGGGGCACAGGCCUGCCCCUAUUGAAAUCAACAGUUUUGUCAUUGGCUUCAACAGCACUAGGCCCUUUCAAAAGUAACAAUGUUUUUAGAAAAAAACAUUGGCUCUAGCCAAUGUGUCUCAGGUUUUUGCUGCUGCAGUUUAAAAAGGCCAAUUUAACGGAGUCUGAAAACUGGGAUUCAUAAUGGAAAUAUGAACUGAGCUUUAAUUAUAAUGGUGUGAAAAAUACACAGUAAUAAUUACUGUGACUAGUCUUCGCUACCCCGUCUUUUAUGAAUGCAACACACCUUUGUUCCACUCUGAAUUCUGUUCUGUAGUGGCUGAGUAUUUUUAAUAUAGGAACACUAGCUGUAAUCCAUUCACUCGAUGCUACAGUAAACUAGGAGUUUAGUUAAACUCUAGUAUUCAUUACGUUGUGCCUUAGUAUUGAAAGUUUGACCCAUUGAUAUUGGCUUUUCUGUUCUUGUUGUAACUGUUAGAGGAACAUGUGUACCUUCCACAGUGUUUGUCUGUUUAAUAGGAAAAUAAACCUAGGCUAGCUGAAUAUUACUUGAAUUUUAAUAUAUAUUUAAAAUAGAGUAAAUUACCUUCCUAGAGCUUCUGUGUUAGUUUUUUUUUAGUAUUGUCUCCACGUAGUUUACUGGUAUAACAAAAAUCUAACAUAUCACAUAAAAAAAUAAUGGUGGGGGGGAAAUAGGGUUUAUGUAACAGUGUAUUAUUAAUAGAUCACAUGUGAAACGAAAGUGUUUGUCUGAAUAAACAAAGAUGUUUAUAAUCAGUAAUUGCUCAGUGGGCAUUUCUUAGGUAGUAUGGACGACCUAAAACUUGUAAGUAGAUGGCAUAUGUAGAAACCCUCUAGGAUCUGUUAAAAUACAAUAUUUGUACUAAUCAGAUGAGCACAGCCAUACUACAGACUACAUUUCUCUCCCUCCCCCUGUGUGUUUUUAAUCCAGCAAGCAAACUUAUUUCCCUUAGGACUGAAAUAAUUUAAGGGUGGUCAGGAAGCUGAAGGUCUGUAUUUUGUCAGACAAAAAUACCUCUCUUUUUCAUUAUUUCUUCAUGUUUUCCUUCUAACAAGAAGCUUGCUGUAAAUUACAUUUCUUCCCUUCAUGAGUUUCUUGCCUCUGAACCUUGGUUUAAAACCAGCUGACAGUAUUUAAAAUAUAAUUGCAAUCGGAGGAUGAGCCCUGACAGACAAUUUCAUUCAUGUUUUUCCCCAGAGAGAGAUAAUGUGUGAAAUAAUCUGAAAUUAGUUCAAGGAUAUUAAGACAAGUUGUACCUAGUGGUGUCAUGUCAUCCUUUGUGUAAAUCCAUUAAAUUCAGUGGAUUUAAACCCACAGUGAAUUUGGCCUAGUUUCCUUUGAAGGCCUCUCGUGCAUCUACCCUAUGGUCAAUCCUAGGCAGGAUUCGUAGAGUGGAACUAAUAUUGUACAUUUCUAUCCAUUUCCGUCACUCGCUGUUGCUGUCUUGUCCUUCAUCUUACCAUGAAUUGCCAGACUUGAAAGUUAAAUAUGUAACUAAUGAGCCUUGUAUCACCUUGGAGUUGACCUUAAUGCAUUAAAAGAAUAUAAUACACA
Molecule: non-coding RNA, 3199 nt
Organism: Chelonoidis abingdonii (Abingdon island giant tortoise)
Lineage: Eukaryota; Metazoa; Chordata; Testudines; Testudinidae
Source: RefSeq, a predicted model, not a curated record